GUGCGGGGGCGGGAUUCGGGCCGCGGGGACGCGCGGGGACGCGCGGGGACGCGCCGAGCCGGCCUCGCCCGCGCCGCCGCCGCCGCCGCCGCCGCCGCCGCCGCCGCCCCGGGUUGCAGGGGUUACGUCACGCCCAGGCCGUUCUGGGUCGGGGCCGCGCGGGGCGGAGCCUGCGGGACCCCGGGAAGGCCCCCCGGACCCCGGCCUCAGGGCGCCCCUCUGCUCCAGCUCUGGGUUCGGUGCGCCCCAGUCGGCCCCGCAGGGCAAAGCCAGUACCGGAAGCGGACGGCGCAGCUGCGGGCACGCGGAGCUGCUGUCCUCGGAUCCCCCCAGGCUGCCGAGGACCGGGCGUCGUCGCAAGUAUCUCGGGUCGUAAGUGUUGGGUGGAGUCAGCCCGUGGGUGGCCUGCGGCGAGGGCUGAGCUGGGGGUCGCUUAGGCACGUCCCUUGUGCCCCCGCCGAGUCAGGAGCCUGCCUGCCUGCUUCCUGCCCAACUGCCCGUCUGCCCACCUGCCCACCUGCCUUCCUGCCCAUCUGCCUGCUUGCUUGCUUCCUUCCUUCCUUCCUCCUUGCCUCCCUGCUUCCUUCCUUCCUUCCUGCUUGCCUCCCUGCCCCUCCCUCCCUCCCUCCCUUCCUUCCUUCCUUCCUUCCUUCCUUCCUUCCUUCCUUCCUUCCAGCUUCCUUUCUUCCUUCUUGCUUCCUUUCUUCCUUCCUUCUUGCCUCCCAGCUUGCUUGCUUGCUUCCUUCCUGCUUGCCUCCCUGCUUGCUUCCUUCCUUCCUUCCUUCCUUCCCUCCUUCCUUCCUUCUUUCCUUCCUUCCUUCUUGCCUCCCAGCUUGCUUGCUUCCUUCCUUCUUGCCUCCCAGCUUGCUUGCUUGCUUCCUUCCUUCCUUCUUGCUUCCUUCCUUCCUUCCUUCUUUCCUUCCUGCUUGCCAGCUUCCUUCCUUCCUUCCUUUUUCCUUCCUUCCUUCCUGCCUGCCUGCCUGCCUGCCAGCUUCCUUCCUUCCUUCUUGCUUCCUUUCUUCCUUCCUUCUUGCCUGCCAGCUUGCUUGCUUCCUGCUUGCCUCCUUCCUCCCUUCCUUCCUUCCUUCCUUCCAGCUUCCUUCCUUCCUUCUUGCUUCCUUUCUUCCUUCCUUCUUGCCUCCCAGCUUGCUUGCUUCCUUCCUUCCUUCUUGCCUGUCUCCUUUCUUCCUGCCUUCCUUCCUGCCUUCCUUCUUUCCUUCCUGCUUGCCAGCUUCCUUCCUCCUUCCUUCCUUCCUUCCUUCCUUUCUUCCUUCCCUCCUUCCAGCUUCCUUCCUUCCUUCUUGCUUCCUUUCUUCCUUCCUUCUUGCCUGCCAGCUUGCUUGCUUGCUUGCUUCCUGCUUGCCUCCUUCCUUCCUUCCUUCUUUCCUUCCUUCCUUCCUUCCUUCCUUCCUUCCUUCCUUCCUUCUUGCCACCCUGCCUCCUUCCUUCCUGCCUACCUGCCUUCCUUCCUUUCUUCCUGCCUUCCUUUCUUCCUUCUUGCUUCCUUCCUUCUUGCUUCCUUCCUUCCUUCCUUCUUGCCUGCCAGCUUGCUUGCUUCCUUCCUUCCUGCUUGCCUCCCUGCCUUCCUUCCUUCUUGCUUCCUUUCUUCCUUUCUUUCUUCUUGCCAGCCUGCAUUCUUCCUUCCUGCCUGUCUGCCUUCCUUCCUUCCUUUCUGCCUUCCUUCUUCCUGCUUGCCUCCCUUCCUUCCUCCUCCCUCCCUCCCUCCCUCCCUCCCUCCCUCCCUUCCUUCCUUCCUUCCUUCCCGUCAUCUCUCUCCUCUGCAUUUCUCUGUCCGUUUCUCUGUUCUUAUACUUGGCACAGUGCGUUUUGUAUGAGUUUAUGUGCCUUUCCCAGCAAAUGGUGUUUCUGAGUAGAUCUACGUCUUCCCCACAGGAGGUAUUCCAGAACUGUGAACAUAAUAGACACUCCAUUUUUAAAAGCCUUAAAAACACAGGAGAAAGCUGUGUUAAAGCACAGUGGUGCUUUAGCCAAAUGACCAUUCUGCAGAGAUGGUGCUCAGUGGCAGGGUGCCUGUAA
Molecule: long non-coding RNA, 2037 nt
Filed under: Canis lupus dingo (dingo)
Lineage: Eukaryota; Metazoa; Chordata; Mammalia; Carnivora; Canidae
Description: lncRNA (ENSCAFG00020005755.1)
Source: RNAcentral